Molecule: long non-coding RNA, 763 nt
Organism: Rhinolophus ferrumequinum (greater horseshoe bat)
Lineage: Eukaryota; Metazoa; Chordata; Mammalia; Chiroptera; Rhinolophidae
Exons: 3
Source: RefSeq, a predicted model, not a curated record
CAGCUCCGCGACCGGCGGGAAAUUGGCCUUCCGGGGUCCCCAAAACGCGCUGCGCUGCGUGAAGGUGUAACUACGAUGGUAUGCCCAUCCAGGGAAAAUAAAGUGGAAAUGAAGACUGAGGCAGCCUCUAAGAGGGAUAGAAGUUACAAACUCAGCUCUGUGAAGGUAGGAAAGGAGCGCACUGGAAAUGAUUCAGAACUAGGAAGAAUUACCUCAUAUUCUGGAUGACAGAACCAAGCAAGAUACAAAAUGACGUUGACCAGCUGAAGCAAUGGGGCCACGAUCAACAAGAUGAAAUUCAAAAGAGAUAAAUGAGCGCUGCAUUGAAGUUCAAAAAGGAAAUCAAUUGCCCACAUACUGAACACGAUAGUCAUUAAUGUGAAACAAAAGGUUGUGGAGUUUUUCAUUGAUCACAAACUCCCCACGAGUCAAGACUUUAAAAAAUAAAAAAAUAAAAAGCUAAAGCAAUGUGAGACAGUAUUGGCAGAAGCAACCAGAUCGAGGAUCGACAUGGCUCUGCAUGAUCUGGCUCUGGCUCAUCACCACCAAGCACAAGUCUUGGACUCCCUGCUAUUGAGACACGAGGUGCUGUGGGUCUCCCUAGGCACUUAGGUAGCGCGGAUGCGUAGGGGAGUUAACAGCCAAUGGAGCAAAACUUCCACCAUUGGGAGACAGAGGCCGACAGAGAAAUCCUUCCUCUAACAGAUAACAGUUGUUUAUAUGGCUAUUGGAAGAUGGAGAUCGAGCCGUCCAAUUCAUUUUA